This 201-nucleotide long non-coding RNA is filed under the name Capsicum annuum. RNAcentral describes it as "long non-coding RNA (CANN_LNC021883)". The record is from RNAcentral. Lineage: Eukaryota; Viridiplantae; Streptophyta; Magnoliopsida; Solanales; Solanaceae.
CAAAUUUUUGGUGACAUGAAAGUGAAAGUACAGGUAUUUAAACGGGUUCUCCCGGGCCUUCUCGGCUUCGGGUGCCAGUCCGGCCCGAUGGGAUUUUGGGGCGUGACAAAAGUGGUAUCAGAGAGGUUCGUCCUAGUGAGUCUACAAAGCCGUGUCUACGUAGAGUCUUGUUUAUCGGUGUGUUGUGCACCACAUCUAUAA